GGAUGAAUAUUGGUCAAUGGGCGAGAGCCUGAACCAGCCAAGUAGCGUGCAGGACGACGGCCCUAUGGGUUGUAAACUGCUUUUGUAAGGGAACAAAGUGCGGGACGCGUCCCGUUUUGCGUGUACCUUACGAAUAAGGACCGGCUAAUUCCGUGCCAGCAGCCGCGGUAAUACGGAAGGUCCGGGCGUUAUCCGGAUUUAUUGGGUUUAAAGGGAGCGUAGGCCGAAGGUUAAGCGUGUUGUGAAAUGUAGUCGCUCAACGGGUGCACUGCAGCGCGAACUGGCUUUCUUGAGUGCGCGGAAAGUUGGCGGAAUUCGUGUGUAGCGGUGAAAUGCUUAGAUA
Molecule: ribosomal RNA, 343 nt
Filed under: uncultured Prevotella sp.
Lineage: Bacteria; Pseudomonadati; Bacteroidota; Bacteroidia; Bacteroidales; Prevotellaceae
Description: bacterial SSU rRNA
Rfam family: Bacterial small subunit ribosomal RNA
Source: RNAcentral